RNAcentral lists this transfer RNA (74 nucleotides) under bacterium HR20. Its description in RNAcentral is "tRNA-Thr". It matches the Rfam family "tRNA". From Rfam's summary of the family: Transfer RNA (tRNA) molecules are approximately 80 nucleotides in length. Their secondary structure includes four short double-helical elements and three loops (D, anti-codon, and T loops). Further hydrogen bonds mediate the characteristic L-shaped molecular structure. tRNAs have two regions of fundamental functional importance: the anti-codon, which is responsible for specific mRNA codon recognition, and the 3' end, to which the tRNAs corresponding amino acid is attached (by aminoacyl-tRNA synthetases). tRNAs cope with the degeneracy of the genetic code in two manners: having more than one tRNA (with a specific anti-codon) for a particular amino acid; and 'wobble' base-pairing, i.e. permitting non-standard base-pairing at the 3rd anti-codon position. The record is from RNAcentral.
GCUGACGUAGCUCAGUUGGUAGAGCACUUCCUUGGUAAGGAAGAGGUCGGCGGUUCAAUCCCGCUCGUCAGCUC